Molecule: ribosomal RNA, 565 nt
Filed under: Craugastor aurilegulus
Lineage: Eukaryota; Metazoa; Chordata; Amphibia; Anura; Craugastoridae
Description: partial 16S ribosomal RNA
Rfam family: Bacterial large subunit ribosomal RNA
Source: RNAcentral
CGCCUCUUGCUUAAGCAUAAGAGGUCUAGCCUGCCCAGUGACCCCUGUUCAACGGCCGCGGUAUCCUAACCACGCGAAGGUAGCGCAAUCAAUUGUCUCCUAAAUAGGGACUUGUAUGAAUGGCAUUACGAGAAUUUAACUGUCUCCCCUCUCUAAUCUGUGAAACUAAUCUCCCUGUGAAAAAGCAGGACUAUCUUCAUAAGACGAGAAGACCCUGUGGAACUUCAAACAAGUAACAAAUGCUCCAUUUUAGCCCUUAUACUGAGGCUUUCCCCACCCGAGCACUCUGAUUACAAGUUUUCGGCUGGGGCGACCAUGGAGAAAAACUCACCCCCCAUGUUGUGAACCUCAAAUUCAAACCCACAAGCUACAGCUUUACGAAUCAAUAAACUGGCAUCCAUUGACCCAAAUACUUGAUCAACGAACCAAGCUACCCCAGGGAUAACAGCGCAAUCCACCUUGAGAGCACAUAUCGACAAGUGGGCUUACGACCUCGAUGUUGGAUCAGGGUACCCCUGUGGCGCAGCCGCUACUAAAGGUUCGUUUGUUCAACGAUUAAAACCCU